This 201-nucleotide unclassified non-coding RNA is filed under the name Hevea brasiliensis (rubber tree). The record is from RNAcentral. Lineage: Eukaryota; Viridiplantae; Streptophyta; Magnoliopsida; Malpighiales; Euphorbiaceae.
GAAGACGCUGCAGAACAAGGGGGAAGACUUGGAAAGGUCUUUGAGCGAGUUGAAGGCUGGGGAUUGGUUGUCGAAGCAAGAAUUUGAUAAAAUUUAUGAGGAAUUGAAGAAGGCCAAAAACGGUGAAUUUGAUGAGCGAUUUGCGAAUUUGGAUGAUAUAAGGGCUUAUGCAAGGGAAAUGAUUGAGAGGGAGAUUCAGAA